RNAcentral lists this ribosomal RNA (263 nucleotides) under uncultured bacterium. RNAcentral describes it as "partial 16S ribosomal RNA". It matches the Rfam family "Bacterial small subunit ribosomal RNA", at positions 57 to 305 of the family's 1533-position model. The record is from RNAcentral.
GCAAGUCGAGCGAGAAGGUAAAGUUUUCUUCUUCGGAAGAAGACUUAACUGGAAAGCGGCGGACGGGUGAGUAACGCGUGGGUAACCUACCCUGUACAGAGGAAUAGCCAUUGGAAACGAUGGCUAAUACCGCAUGAUGCCUACGGGCCAAAGAGGGGGACCUUCGGGCCUCUCGCGUCAGGAUAUGCCCAGGUGGGAUUAGCUAGUUGGUGAGGUAAGGGCUCACCAAGGCGACGAUCCCUAGCUGGUCUGAGAGGAUGAUC